GAGUUUGAUCCUGGCUCAGGAUGAACGCUAGCGGCAGGCUUAACACAUGCAAGUCGAGGGGCAACACGGGUAGCAAUACCUGGUGGCGACCGGCGCAAGGGUGCGUAACGCGUGAGCAACAUACCCUAUACAGGGGGAUAAUCCAGGGAAACUUGGUCUAAUAUCCCAUNNNAUUUACAGAUGUCAUCAUCUAUAAAUUAAAGCUUCGGUGGUAUAGGAUUGGCUCGCGUGACAUUAGCUNNAUGGUGGGGUAACGGCCUACCA
RNAcentral lists this ribosomal RNA (264 nucleotides) under uncultured Bacteroidota bacterium. RNAcentral describes it as "uncultured Bacteroidetes bacterium partial 16S ribosomal RNA". It matches the Rfam family "Bacterial small subunit ribosomal RNA", at positions 9 to 270 of the family's 1533-position model. The record is from RNAcentral. Lineage: Bacteria; Pseudomonadati; Bacteroidota.